GCAGAAUGAGGAGGGAGGUCUAUAGGGGCCUUCUGUAUCCCAUCCUAGAGCUCUUCAAACUGGUAUCUGUCCAUUGUGGUCUGUGGAAGAAGAAGGCACAAAUGGUCCAGGUCCAGGGGCAGGAGAUAGACUCUCUUUACUCAGUGAGAAGAAAAAUCAGAGAAAUGAGGAAAGUUGAAAUUGUAAUGCGUGUUAACUAUCAAACACACCGCUGCACUCUGCACAGGACAUGAGAUCUACUAUCACUGUUAACCGCCACCUCCGGUAUCAUCGUAGUCAUCUCUGUGACCUCCAUCAGUAUUGUCAGCAGCAUCAGCAGCAUCAAUGACAUCAGCGUCACCACAAUCGCUAUCGUCAUCACUGUAACAAUUGUCAACAUCAUUACCAUCAGCAACAUCAUUGUCAGCACUCCUGACAUCAUUAUCAUAGUGGUUAUCACCAUAACCUUCGCCAUCACUGUCACUGUCAGCAUCACCAUUAAUCAUGACGAACAUUAUUGGAGUCUUCGUGACAGUCAUCACCAUUAUCAGCCUUUAUUGUUCACCAUCUCGGCCAUCACUACCACCAUCGUUAUCACUGUCAACAUGGCCCUCAGCAUCCACUAACGCCACCAUCAUCUCCAUCACCAUGACCACUGUCAUCACAGAUAUCAGCAUCACCAUCAGCACCAUCGGCCCCAACCAUCAGCACAUCUUCUCACUUCCCUCUUCUGCCUCUUUGCUUUUCCUUUAUACACAUCUGGUCUCCCUUUAAAUAAUCCUUAGCAAUGGGGCUCUGUUGAGAGUAAGUACCAUUUAGACCUAUUAAGUUAAGAGUCAGGACAAACACACAUGAGGAGUUUGAGACCCAAACCUCGUUGGGAAGCCGGAGAGUGUUCAGAGCGUUCUAUCACAACUGAAAGCAUAGUAUGUGGGUGUGUGUGUGAUGUGGGCUUCCUGGGCAGAGGAAAAGCACGAGGAUGCUGUCAAGGCUGGCAGAGAACCAUGGGCACCAAGGCGGAGCUUGAAGGCUGACUCUAUCCUUGGUUUCGUUGGGGCCCUGGACAUCAUUUCCUGUAGGUCACCUUGACACUGGACGUAGCUUUGGCAGGCUUACCCAGGAGCAAAUAGACCAAGGUGUCUCCGAGCAUGUCUGCCAAGACAAAUGGACCCCAUCUUUAUACUUAGGAUUGAAACCCGUGAAGAGCUCACAUGUGAGUUCUGCUUCGCCCAAGUAUGAUGCAUUAUGAGAGAGAUCGCCAGAACUUUUCAGCCAAACCCGAGGAGCCCGCGAAUGGGAACUUCCCAAACAUCCCUUUACUGACUGUGAGCAAUGAAUGGCACAAACGUGACGUUCUGUUCAUGUCCUCCACUGAGUGUCCACGGGGAAUCUGCUUUCUCUGUUCUUUUGGCCACGUGUUGUUAAUAAAUUGAAUGUCAGUACUCCCUUAAA
Molecule: long non-coding RNA, 1431 nt
Organism: Mastomys coucha (southern multimammate mouse)
Lineage: Eukaryota; Metazoa; Chordata; Mammalia; Rodentia; Muridae
Exons: 2
Source: RefSeq, a predicted model, not a curated record